AACGAACGCUGGCGGCAUGCCUAACACAUGCAAGUCGAACGAGACCUUCGGGUCUAGUGGCGCACGGGUGCGUAACGCGUGGGAACCUGCCCUUAGGUUCGGAAUAACUCCCCGAAAGGGGUGCUAAUACCGGAUAAUGUCUUCGGACCAAAGAUUUAUCGCCUUUGGAUGGGCCCGCGUUGGAUUAGCUAGUUGGUAGGGUAAAAGCCUACCAAGGCGACGAUCCAUAGCUGGUCUGAGAGGAGGAUCAGCCACACUGGGACUGAGACACGGCCCAGACUCCUACGGGAGGCAGCAGUGGGGAAUAUUGGACAAUGGGCGAAAGCCUGAUCCAGCAAUGCCGCGUGAGUGAUGAAGGCCUUAGGGUUGUAAAGCUCUUUUACCCGGGAUGAUAAUGACGGUACCGGGAGAAGAAGCACCGGCUAACUCCGUG
This 433-nucleotide ribosomal RNA is filed under the name uncultured bacterium. RNAcentral's name for it is "partial 16S ribosomal RNA". It matches the Rfam family "Bacterial small subunit ribosomal RNA", at positions 29 to 507 of the family's 1533-position model. The record is from RNAcentral.